This 460-nucleotide ribosomal RNA is filed under the name uncultured bacterium. Its description in RNAcentral is "partial 16S ribosomal RNA". It matches the Rfam family "Bacterial small subunit ribosomal RNA", at positions 338 to 795 of the family's 1533-position model. The record is from RNAcentral.
CCUACGGGCGGCAGCAGUGAGGAAUAUUGGUCAAUGGACGAGAGUCUGAACCAGCCAAGCAGCGUGAAGGAUGACUGCCCUCUGGGUUGUAAACUUCUUUUAUAUGGGAAUAAAAUGUUCCACGUGUGGGAUUUUGUAUGGACCAUAAGAAUAAGGAUCGGCUAACUCCGUGCCAGCAGCCGCGGUAAUACGGAGGAUCCGAGCGUUACCCGGAUUUAUUGGGUGUAAAGGGAGCGUAGGUGGAUUGUUAAGUCAGUUGUGAAAGUUUGCGGCUCAACCGUAGAAUUGCAGUUGAUACUGGCAGUCGUGAGUACAGUAGAGGUGGGCAGAAUUCGUGGUGUAGCGGUGAAAUGCUUAGAUAUGACGAAGAAUUCCGAUUGCGAAGGCAGUUCACUGGAAUUCAACUGACACUGAGGCGCGAAAGCGUGGGUAUCAAACAGGAUUAGAUACCCGUGUAGUC